Molecule: long non-coding RNA, 508 nt
Filed under: Equus caballus (horse)
Lineage: Eukaryota; Metazoa; Chordata; Mammalia; Perissodactyla; Equidae
Description: lncRNA (ENSECAG00000047419.1)
Source: RNAcentral
GGGAAGUCAGGUAAUGCAAGUCCUUUCAAGCUAUGGUAGUAAUUUUUGUUUUGAUCCAUACUGCAAAGGGAAGACUUGACAGUGUCAGAUGAUCUGAUCUGCAUUUUCAAAAGGUUAUUAUGACUGCACAGUGAUAAAUGGAUAGGAAACAUCAUGGCGAAAGAAUAAGAGUGGAUGUAUGGAGAUCAGUUAUGAGGCUGUUUUAGUUGUCUAGAAUUUGAGCCAAUAUAGAGACCAUUGCACCCCAGUCUAAAUCUGACUUUCCUCUGGAGAGUAAGAAGAAAAGGAAGGAGGAGGAAACAUGGACGAUUCUGGCAGAGAGAAGCCGUUACCCAGUGUGGUCCAUGACACAUCUUGGUUGGUUUAGCGAAUGAUACUUGUAAUCAAAUCUCCUAUCAAUAUACAAGAUGCGUGUUUUGGCUAUUAGGUUUGCGUUUAGAACAGAAUAAAAGAAUCAUGAUUGGAAUACAUUGAAUAGGUAGAGUUUGAGAAGACUAGAUAAGUGUUG